AAGUCGUAACAAGGUAACCGUAGGUGAACCUGCGGUUGGAUCAUUAUUGAAUCUUUUCAAGUUACUAGUUAAGCCUACCCAUUAAGGGAAAGCACUAGUGACUCUACCCCCAAAAUUACCUUGUGAAUUAUGUUUAGUACUCGUCUUUGGCUAUUACCUUUAUAAGGAAAUAGCCUUUGACUUUAAAAACCUUUAGAUAUUGUUAUCAAAUUGAAUUAUUUACUUGAAAAAAAAGUAAACAACUUUUGACAACGGAUCUCUUGGCUCUC
This 269-nucleotide unclassified non-coding RNA is filed under the name fungal sp. Its description in RNAcentral is "partial internal transcribed spacer region". The stretch from base 1 to 46 matches the Rfam family "Eukaryotic small subunit ribosomal RNA", at positions 1786 to 1831 of the family's 1831-position model. The record is from RNAcentral. Lineage: Eukaryota; Fungi.